RNAcentral lists this ribosomal RNA (500 nucleotides) under uncultured bacterium. Its description in RNAcentral is "partial 16S ribosomal RNA". It matches the Rfam family "Bacterial small subunit ribosomal RNA", at positions 30 to 523 of the family's 1533-position model. The record is from RNAcentral.
AUUGAACGCUGGCGGAAUGCUUUACACAUGCAAGUCGAACGGCAGCACGGACUUCGGUCUGGUGGCGAGUGGCGAACGGGUGAGUAAUACAUCGGAACGUGCCCAGGCGUGGGGGAUAACGUAGCGAAAGCUACGCUAAUACCGCAUACGAUCCAAGUAUGAAAGCGGGGGAUCGCAAGACCUCGCGCGAUUGGAGCGGCCGAUGGCAGAUUAGGUAGUUGGUAGGGUAAAGGCCUACCAAGCCGACGAUCUGUAGCUGGUCUGAGAGGAUGAUCAGCCACACUGGGACUGAGACACGGCCCAGACUCCUACGGGAGGCAGCAGUGGGGAAUUUUGGACAAUGGGCGCAAGCCUGAUCCAGCCAUUCCGCGUGCAGGAUGAAGGCCUUCGGGUUGUAAACUGCUUUUGUACAGAACGAAAAGGCUCUGGUUAAUACCCGGGGCUAAUGACGGUACUGUAAGAAUAAGCACCGGCUAACUACGUGCCAGCAGCCGCGGUAA